This 493-nucleotide ribosomal RNA is filed under the name uncultured bacterium. RNAcentral describes it as "bacterial SSU rRNA". It matches the Rfam family "Bacterial small subunit ribosomal RNA", at positions 28 to 517 of the family's 1533-position model. The record is from RNAcentral.
GAUGAACGCUAGCGGCAGGCCUAACACAUGCAAGUCGAGGGGUAGAGUUAGCUUGCUAACUUGAGACCGGCGCACGGGUGCGUAACGCGUAUGCAAUCUACCUUGUACAGAGGGAUAGCCCAGAGAAAUUUGGAUUAAUACCUCAUAGUAUCUUUACCUGGCAUCGGGUAAUUAUUAAAGUUCCAACGGUACAAGAUGAGCAUGCGUCCCAUUAGUUAGUUGGUAAGGUAACGGCUUACCAAGACAAUGAUGGGUAGGGGUCCUGAGAGGGAGAUCCCCCACACUGGUACUGAGACACGGACCAGACUCCUACGGGAGGCAGCAGUGAGGAAUAUUGGUCAAUGGACGCAAGUCUGAACCAGCCAUGCCGCGUGCAGGAAGACGGUCCUAUGGAUUGUAAACUGCUUUUUAANACAGGAAAGAAACAACUCUACGUGUAGAGUCUUGACGGUACUGUAGGAAUAAGGAUCGGCUAACUCCGUGCCAGCAGCCG